CAGGGAGAGCUUUCAGGAAUUUGCCCCAAAAUGUUAAUAACCCAGAACACUUCCAACAGCCAACACUUUUCAUAAUAACACAUUCCUAGGUCACCAGAUCUGUAAAGUUCUAGUUCUUAAUAGAAACCAUCCCCUUUUCCAAACCCUGACCCUUAUUCUAGUUCCCAUACCCUGGGGCCCAGUACCUGGUGGAAAAAAAAAAGAGGAGUCUGGGAUCCCUAACAUCAGACCAUUGGCAGUCAAGUGUUAGAAUAAAUCUGACGGUCUGGGCCAUUCCUAUCGGAGCCUCAAUUCAGUGCCCAGAAAUGGAUUUCUCUUAGCUUCUCAGGAACCCACAGGACUGUCUUUCCCAUAACCAGAAGAAGGUCCCAUCAACUAUUUCUCGUCCUUUCUCUUCUCCUCUCCUCCAGUCUUAAACCACUGGGAGCAUCCAUCAUCGACUGAGGGCUGGCUGUUGUGUGCCUGUCACUGUGCUCAUUUGUCCUGGGAAUACAAGGCAAGCGUAAUACAAUAUAGUUUAUUCAAAGGGUCUGUAGCUUCUGACCUUCAAAGGGGAGUGCUAAGG
Molecule: long non-coding RNA, 565 nt
Filed under: Phascolarctos cinereus (koala)
Lineage: Eukaryota; Metazoa; Chordata; Mammalia; Diprotodontia; Phascolarctidae
Description: lncRNA (ENSPCIG00000017849.2)
Source: RNAcentral